AUUGAACGCUGGCGGCAGGCCUAACACAUGCAAGUCGAGCGCGCGGCGGACGGGUGAGUAAUGUAUGGGGACUGCCCGAUAGAGGGGGAUAACUACUGGAAACGGUGGCUAAUACCGCAUACUAUCGGAUAACCCAUAUGGGAUUAGCUAGUAGGUGGGGUAAAGGCCCACCGAGGCGACGAUCUCUAGCUGGUCUGAGAGGAUGAUCAGUCACACUGGUACUGAGACACGGCCCCGACUCCUACGGAGGCAGCAGGGGGGAAUAUUGCACAAUGGGCGCAAGCCUGAUGCAGCCAUGCCGCGUGUAUGAAGAAGGCCUUAGGGUUGUAAAGUACUUUCAGCGGGGAGGCGUUACCCGCAGAAGAAGCCCCGGCUAACGCCGUGCCAGCAGCCGCGGUAAUAC
RNAcentral lists this ribosomal RNA (403 nucleotides) under uncultured bacterium. Its description in RNAcentral is "partial 16S ribosomal RNA". It matches the Rfam family "Bacterial small subunit ribosomal RNA", at positions 30 to 526 of the family's 1533-position model. The record is from RNAcentral.